AGAGUUUGAUCAUGGCUCAGAUUGAACGCUGGCGGCAGGCCUAACACAUGCAAGUCGAGCGGUAGCACAGAGAGCUUGCUCUCGGGUGACGAGCGGCGGACGGGUGAGUAAUGUCUGGGAAACUGCCUGAUGGAGGGGGAUAACUACUGGAAACGGUAGCUAAUACCGCAUAACGUCGCAAGACCAAAGUGGGGGACCUUCGGGCCUCAUGCCAUCAGAUGUGCCCAGAUGGGAUUAGCUAGUAGGUGGGGUAACGGCUCACCUAGGCGACGAUCCCUAGCUGGUCUGAGAGGAUGACCAGCCACACUGGAACUGAGACACGGUCCAGACUCCUACGGGAGGCAGCAGUGGGGAAUAUUGCACAAUGGGCGCAAGCCUGAUGCAGCCAUGCCGCGUGUGUGAAGAAGGCCUUCGGGUUGUAAAGCACUUUCAGCGGGGAGGAAGGCGGUGAGGUUAAUAACCUUGUCGAUUGACGUUACCCGCAGAAGAAGCACCGGCUAACUCCGUGCCAGCAGCCGCGGUAAUACGGAGGGUGCAAGCGUUAAUCGGAAUUACUGGGCGUAAAGCGCACGCAGGCGGUCUGUCAAGUCGGAUGUGAAAUCCCCGGGCUCAACCUGGGAACUGCAUUCGAAACUGGCAGGCUAGAGUCUUGUAGAGGGGGGUAGAAUUCCAGGUGUAGCGGUGAAAUGCGUAGAGAUCUGGAGGAAUACCGGUGGCGAAGGCGGCCCCCUGGACAAAGACUGACGCUCAGGUGCGAAAGCGUGGGGAGCAAACAGGAUUAGAUACCCUGGUAGUCCACGCUGUAAACGAUGUCGAUUUGGAGGUUGUGCCCUUGAGGCGUGGCUUCCGGAGCUAACGCGUUAAAUCGACCGCCUGGGGAGUACGGCCGCAAGGUUAAAACUCAAAUGAAUUGACGGGGGCCCGCACAAGCGGUGGAGCAUGUGGUUUAAUUCGAUGCAACGCGAAGAACCUUACCUGGUCUUGACAUCCACAGAACUUUCCAGAGAUGGAUUGGUGCCUUCGGGAACUGUGAGACAGGUGCUGCAUGGCUGUCGUCAGCUCGUGUUGUGAAAUGUUGGGUUAAGUCCCGCAACGAGCGCAACCCU
This 1106-nucleotide ribosomal RNA is filed under the name Klebsiella variicola. RNAcentral describes it as "partial 16S ribosomal RNA". It matches the Rfam family "Bacterial small subunit ribosomal RNA", at positions 8 to 1105 of the family's 1533-position model. RNAcentral also lists the same sequence under 1 other name. The record is from RNAcentral. Lineage: Bacteria; Pseudomonadati; Pseudomonadota; Gammaproteobacteria; Enterobacterales; Enterobacteriaceae.